UUUCUGAACACACUCUACCACCAACAAGGACAGCUCACCAGUGGGAACUGAUAGAUAAGACUGCUGAUGUGCUCUCAUCCAUUGAAGAGCUGACCAGAAACGUGAACAGAAAGACUGCACCUGAUGGGAUCCCUGCCAUAACAGAUGUGUUCUGUCCAGUGAAGGCAGUGGAGAAGCCCUACACUGAUCUUGAAACUGUGCCACGCUAGUAGAGACCGGCUACAAGGAUGGGCAGCUGUUUUCGCAAAGUCAG
Molecule: long non-coding RNA, 253 nt
Organism: Oreochromis aureus
Lineage: Eukaryota; Metazoa; Chordata; Actinopteri; Cichliformes; Cichlidae
Exons: 3
Source: RefSeq, a predicted model, not a curated record